GGACACUUAGCAACCACGGUUGAUGCACUUGUCUGAAGAACAAGAUAACAAGGUUCGACUCCUUGAGUGUCCACCA
Molecule: transfer RNA, 76 nt
Filed under: Caudoviricetes sp.
Lineage: Duplodnaviria; Heunggongvirae; Uroviricota; Caudoviricetes
Description: tRNA-Phe
Rfam family: tRNA
About the family: Transfer RNA (tRNA) molecules are approximately 80 nucleotides in length. Their secondary structure includes four short double-helical elements and three loops (D, anti-codon, and T loops).
Source: RNAcentral